This 900-nucleotide ribosomal RNA is filed under the name Microsporidia sp. Its description in RNAcentral is "SSU rRNA". It matches the Rfam family "Microsporidia small subunit ribosomal RNA", at positions 25 to 961 of the family's 1311-position model. The record is from RNAcentral. Lineage: Eukaryota; Fungi; Microsporidia.
GGGGGGUUGCCCAAGGUUAGGAUUCCUGCCCGCCCAGGCGGUUGAAUCUCUGGCACGCCAAGCUCAUUCCUAACCUGCGAUGAUUUAGUCUGGCUGUGUAGAUAACUACGUGAAAAUGUAGCUAAGGGAAGGCAGAAUAAGACGCAGGACUAUCAGUUAGUUGGUAGUGUAAUGGACUACCAAGACAGUGACGGUUGACGGGAAAUUAGGGUUUUGUACCGGAGAGGGAGCCUGAGAGAUUGCUCCCACGUCCAAGGACGGCAGCAGGCGCGAAAAUUGCCCACUCUUUGCAGGAGGCAGUUAUGAGACGUGAAGAUGAGUAUCUUGUAAAGAGGGAUAGGAGAAUUGGAGGGCAAGUUUGGUGCCAGCAGCCGCGGUAAUACCGACUCCAAGAGUGUGUAUGAGAGAUGCUGCAGUUAAAAAGUCCGUAGUCAUAGAAGGGCAAAGAGAGAUGCGAGGUCUCACAGUGCGAUGAUGGAGGAGCCGAUGGGGAACAUAGUAUACCAGGGCGAGAGAUGAAAUGCCAAGACCCCUGGUGGACUGAGCGAGGCGAAGGCGAUGUUCUUGUAGGCAUUCGGUGAUCAAGGACGAAGGCUGGAGUAUCGAAAGUGAUUAGAUACCGCAGUAGUUCCAGCAGUAAAAGAUGCCUACAUGCUCAUUGUACACAGUGGGCAGGGAGAAAUCUUAAAAGUUCGGGCUCUGGUGAUAGUAUGCUCGCAAGGGUGAAAAUUAAAUAAAUUGACGGAGCUACACCACAAGGAGUGGAUUGUGCGGCUUAAUUUGACUCAACGCGAGGAAACUUACCAGGGCCGAGUAUGGUGUAGAAGCGACCGUACGGGAAUGAGGGAUGGUCGUUGGAAAUGAUGCGAGCGCUUUGGACUUGAAUGGGUGAAUGGAGGG